RNAcentral lists this ribosomal RNA (445 nucleotides) under uncultured bacterium. RNAcentral's name for it is "partial 16S ribosomal RNA". It matches the Rfam family "Bacterial small subunit ribosomal RNA", at positions 354 to 796 of the family's 1533-position model. The record is from RNAcentral.
GUAGGGAAUAUUGGGCAAUGGAUGCAAGUCUGACCCAGCCAUCCCGCGUGCCGGAAGAAGGCCCUCAGGGUUGUAAACGGCUUUUGACGGUGAAGAACCGACAGGAUGCGUCCUGUUUUGACGGUAGCCGUUGAAUAAGCACCGGCUAACUACGUGCCAGCAGCCGCGGUAAUACGUAGGGUGCGAGCGUUAAUCGGAAUUACUGGGCGUAAAGCGUGCGCAGGCGGCUAUGCAAGACAGAUGUGAAAUCCCCGGGCUCAACCUGGGAACUGCAUUUGUGACGGCAUGGCUAGAGUGCGUCAGAGGGAGGUGGAAUUCCGCGUGUAGCAGUGAAAUGCGUAGAGAUGCGGAGGAACACCGAUGGCGAAGGCAGCCUCCUGGGAUGACACUGACGCUCAUGCACGAAAGCAUGGGGAGCAAACAGGAUUAGAUACCCGAGUAGUCC